GAAAAGGGGCCGGGUGCCUAAUACAUGCAAGUCGAGCGGAUCUUCAUUAGCUUGCUUUUGAAGAUCAGCGGCGGACGGGUGAGUAACACGUGGGCAACCUGCCUGUAAGACUGGGAUAACUUCGGGAAACCGGAGCUAAUACCGGAUAAUCCUUUUCCUCUCAUGAGGGAAAGCUGAAAGACGGUUUCGGCUGUCACUUACAGAUGGGCCCGCGGCGCAUUAGCUAGUUGGUGAGGUAACGGCUCACCAAGGCGACGAUGCGUAGCCGACCUGAGAGGGUGAUCGGCCACACUGGGACUGAGACACGGCCCAGACUCCUACGGGAGGCAGCAGUAGGGAAUCUUCCGCAAUGGACGAAAGUCUGACGGAGCAACGCCGCGUGAGCGAUGAAGGCCUUCGGGUCGUAAAGCUCUGUUGUCAGGGAAGAACAAGUAUCGGAGUAACUGCCGGUACCUUGACGGUACCUGACCAGAAAGCCACGGCUAACUACGUGCCAGCAGCCGCGGUAAUACGUAGGUGGCAAGCGUUGUCCGGAAUUAUUGGGCGUAAAGCGCGCGCAGGCGGUUCCUUAAGUCUGAUGUGAAAGCCCCCGGCUCAACCGGGGAGGGUCAUUGGAAACUGGGGAACUUGAGUGCAGAAGAGGAGAGCGGAAUUCCACGUGUAGCGGUGAAAUGCGUAGAGAUGUGGAGGAACACCAGUGGCGAAGGCGGCUCUCUGGUCUGUAACUGACGCUGAGGCGCGAAAGCGUGGGGAGCGAACAGGAUUAGAUACCCUGGUAGUCCACGCCGUAAACGAUGAGU
RNAcentral lists this ribosomal RNA (800 nucleotides) under Mesobacillus subterraneus. RNAcentral describes it as "bacterial SSU rRNA". It matches the Rfam family "Bacterial small subunit ribosomal RNA", at positions 31 to 814 of the family's 1533-position model. Lineage: Bacteria; Bacillati; Bacillota; Bacilli; Caryophanales; Bacillaceae. The record is from RNAcentral.